Molecule: ribosomal RNA, 301 nt
Filed under: uncultured bacterium
Lineage: Bacteria
Description: partial 16S ribosomal RNA
Rfam family: Bacterial small subunit ribosomal RNA
Source: RNAcentral
CAGUAGCCGCGGUAAAACGGAGGGUGCAAGCGUUAAUCGGAAUUACUGGGCGUAAAGCGCACGCAGGCGGUCUGACAAGUCAGAUGUGAAAUCCCCGGGCUUAACCUGGGAACUGCAUUUGAAACUGUCAGGCUGGAGUCUUGUAGAGGGGGGUGGAAUUCCAGGUGUAGCGGUGAAAUGCGUAGAGAUCUGGAGGAAUACCGGUGGCGAAGGCGGCCCCCUGGACAAAGACUGACGCUCAGGUGCGAAAGCGUGGGGAGCAAACAGGAUUAGAUACCCGCGUAGUCCCUGUCUCUUAUAA